UGAGGAAUAUUGGUCAAUGGACGCAAGUCUGAACCAGCCAUGCCGCGUGAAGGAUGAAGGCCUUCUGGGUUGUAAACUUCUUUUAUUGGGGAAGAAAAUUACGGUUUCUACUGUAACCGACGGUACCCAAGGAAUAAGCACCGGCUAACUCCGUGCCAGCAGCCGCGGUAAUACGGAGGGUGCAAGCGUUAUCCGGAUUCACUGGGUUUAAAGGGUGUGUAGGCGGGCUGUUAAGUCAGUGGUGAAAUCUCCGGGCUCAACCCGGAAACUGCCAUUGAUACUAUCAGUCUUGAAUAUCGUUGAGGUUGGCGGAAUAUAUCAUGUAGCGGUGAAAUGCUUAGAUAUGAUAU
Molecule: ribosomal RNA, 350 nt
Filed under: uncultured bacterium
Lineage: Bacteria
Description: bacterial SSU rRNA
Rfam family: Bacterial small subunit ribosomal RNA
Source: RNAcentral